Long non-coding RNA from Acinonyx jubatus (cheetah), 1825 nucleotides. RefSeq lists it as uncharacterized. NCBI's taxonomy places the organism in Eukaryota, Metazoa, Chordata, Mammalia, Carnivora, Felidae. The transcript is spliced from 3 exons. The record is from RefSeq and is a predicted model, not a curated record.
GUUGUCUCCUGGGGCACGUGGUGGCUUCACCGACUGUGGAGCAGCUGUCCGAUCGAUAGUCCUGGACUCCAGCUGGUCUCAGACUGUCCCCGAGAGAAGGGCCACAAGUGGCGUCAAAGGACGCAGACGGGGCUUCGAGGUCCACAGGGGGCUACAGCCCCCCAGCCGCGGCCUCUUUCUACUCUGAACGUCCAGCUGUAGCACAGCAGAGCGGCACCGGCCCCGAGGCUCCCGCCAGGCCCUGGGUCUGGCCCUGGCGCCGCAGCUCACCUGCUCUCUGGUGCUCGUCAUCUGGAGGCGGGUGCAGAGGUCGUCCAGCCGUUCCCGCUGCUCGUGCCGCCCCAGGCGCUCCAGGUACUCCCUCAGCAUCUGGAUGAUCUGGAACAAGGGGCCGGGCUGAGUUGCUGGGGGUCUCGCUAGGUGGCAGAGAGAGAGAGCUGCCGCCGCCGCCGCCGCGAAGCCCAGUGGAGCGGUGGCCGGAUGGGGUCGGUGUGAAGCAACCCAGGCGCCUGGGUGCGCCCGGGCAGGCGUGUCUGUCUGUGGUCCGGGCGGCACCUGUCCGGCGCUUGUUUGUGCCGUUGGCCCAGCGUGAAGGGCACUCACCUGCUUCACCUCCAGCCGCACAGCCUCCAGGCACUGGGAGUGGCCCUCCUGCAGGAUGUUCAGCUUUGACUUGGCCAGGUGCAGGGGCGUGCGGCCAGCUCGGUCCAAAGCAUCCACACGGGCCCCUGCGGGAGCAGGCGGAGUCAAGUGCCAUAGUGGGAAUUAAGCCAGUAGAAGAUGCUGAACAUCCCCCUCCCUGAGAGUCUCUAUGCCCUCUCAAAGGAGGCAAAGUGCAGAGCUGUGCGGCCCUUGUCAUCAGCUGCACAGGGAUCCGUGCCAUCUUCCAGCAGCUGCUGCACUGACAUCGCCAAGACAGAGGGAGGGAGGGCGACAGAGAGGUAGUGUUAGUUAUGCUGCAGCCCCUGGGGGUGAACGCGGAUGCUCAGGGGACCCUGCAGGUAAGGCACUGAUAAGCCAUGGGAGAGCGAGCUCUUCCUGGAUGCCGGCCUUACAGGGAAUGUCAUGACAAGGGACUUACUCUCCUGAGGGCACAACUGGGAAUCCCCGAUUCGGGCUGCUCAAACUACGUCUAGGGUUAGAACAUCACAGAAGGAUCUUGGCCCUCAGCGUCAGGAGUUCUCGAAUCACAGAAAUCCCCGGCACACAGACUUUGGCCCCACAUCCAUUUGGAUACACACCCUUUCCAGUUGGACACAGCAGCCCAAGCUGCGGGGCAGCGCUCACUUUGCUCCUGGGAGGUGGCCUUUUAGAGUGAGCGGCUAGAGCACAGGUUUGGAGCCACAAAGACUAAGUCCCAGGCUAAGCUGGGUAACGAAGAAAGGAGUACGUUGCCAACGGCACGGGGCAGUGGAAAGAGCGGGGCUCAGAGCAGGAAGGCCUGAAUCUGGGUCCCAAUUCACCGGCAAAUGGGAAUAAUCUCCGCCCUGCCAAUCUCCAGAGCUGCUGUAAUAACAAUAAUGGAUAUGAAAUUUCUUCGUUGCAAAGUAUGGAGCCAUUAUAAAAUGUGAGGCAUUAUGUGACACGUGUGUGCCCAGCUGAAAUGGAGAAAUUGCUGCCAAACAUCAUUUUAGAGCAACUGACAUUUUUAGUCUCCGCCAGCGAACCUCUCAAGGACUCCAGACGAAGCCCGGAAUCUCCUCCUCCUCCUUCACUUCAAGCUCAGGGAGCCACGCCAUCAUCCGCGGGUCCUCAGUGCCCAGUUCACCUCGCCUGCUCUGACAUUAAAACGCCGCGCUGGUUUUGGAUAUCGUCCCCCUACGCC